AAUCUCCUUGAGGUUUGCCAUAAUAUUCUUAUUUUACAAAAUUGAAUUUGAGAACAGUACUAGAAUAGUGGAAUCAUAACUCCAGCACAGUAUACUCUAGCAAGCAGUGAGAGAACUACAGCAUCUGCAAAACUUUUCUUAUGCCAAACAAAAAUUUAAGACCCCCAACUGAUCAUCAUCCAAAAUGAUCUCAGGAAUCAUUGGCAUAAGUUUUCUGAGUUGUUGUUUCUCGUUGAAAAGCUAGCUAGAACUCUAAAAAUUUGAUCAAAAAAUGGCAAUUCAUAAUGGUCAAGAACCCAAUGACCUAUAAAAAAAAUCAACUAUACAAUUGUGCCUAAACAAAUUUGUUAGAGCCGCCUGCGAAUGUCUAGGAGCAUUAUAGAAAUGAUGUCAUACCUCUGCCAAGAAAAGAAAAAGAAAGAUCAAAACUCCAUUACUGUUGAGGUGAGGUUA
This 453-nucleotide unclassified non-coding RNA is filed under the name Hevea brasiliensis (rubber tree). The record is from RNAcentral. Lineage: Eukaryota; Viridiplantae; Streptophyta; Magnoliopsida; Malpighiales; Euphorbiaceae.